CCUACGGGAGGCAGCAGUGGGGAAUAUUGCGCAAUGGGCGAAAGCCUGACGCAGCGACGCCGCGUGAGGGAUGAAGGUCUUCGGAUCGUAAACCUCUGUCAGCAGGGAAGAACGGUCACUGUGCUAAUCAGCAGUGAAUGGACGGGACCGGCAAAGGAAGCACCGGCUAACUCCGUGCCAGCAGCCGCGGUAAGACGGAGGGUGCGAGCGUUAAUCGGAAUUACGGGGCGGAAAGCGCUCGUAGGCGGUAUGUCAAGUCAAGGGUGAAAUCCCCGCGCUCCAAGUGGGAACUGCCUUUGAAACUGGCAACCUGGAGUGUGUGAGAGGAUAGU
This 332-nucleotide ribosomal RNA is filed under the name uncultured bacterium. RNAcentral describes it as "partial 16S ribosomal RNA". It matches the Rfam family "Bacterial small subunit ribosomal RNA", at positions 338 to 662 of the family's 1533-position model. The record is from RNAcentral.